RNAcentral lists this ribosomal RNA (465 nucleotides) under uncultured bacterium. RNAcentral's name for it is "partial 16S ribosomal RNA". It matches the Rfam family "Bacterial small subunit ribosomal RNA", at positions 339 to 795 of the family's 1533-position model. The record is from RNAcentral.
CUACGGGCGGCUCCAGUGGGGGAAUAUUGCACAAUGGGCGCAAGCCUGAUGCAGCCAUGCCGCGUGUAUGAAGAAGGCCUUCGGGUUGUAAAGUACUUUCAGCGGGGAGGAAGGGAGUAAAGUUAAUACCUUUGCUCAUUGACGUUACCCGCAGAAGAAGCACCGGCUAACUCCGUGCCAGCAGCCGCGGUAAUACGGAGGGUGCAAGCGUUAAUCGGAAUUACUGGGCGUAAAGCGCACGCAGGCGGUUUGUUAAGUCAGAUGUGAAAUCCCCGGGCUCAACCUGGGAACUGCAUCUGAUACUGGCAAGCUUGAGUCUCGUAGAGGGGGGUAGAAUUCCAGGUGUAGCGGUGAAAUGCGUAGAGAUCUGGAGGAAUACCGGUGGCGAAGGCGGCCCCCUGGACGAAGACUGACGCUCAGGUGCGAAAGCGUGGGGAGCAAACAGGAUUAGAUACCCUUGUAGUC